GGUAGUAAUCUUUUUUUUUUCUAUCUUCUCAGAUCCAAGCAAAUUUUUUUAUCUCAAUGUUUUAUUUUUUAUGGUUUUGCUAAUGGGUAUUUGGAUCUUUUGGGGUUUCUUUGUUUUUGUUAACAUAGUCAAAAUCCUUGUACUUUUUAUGUUCCUAAUUUCUGUUUUGCAUGUUUCUGUAGAUGCUUUUUGUUUUUGUUCAACGUUUCUGUAGAUGCUUUGAGUUGGGUUUUGUUGAUUAUUCAUUGCUUUAUUUGGAAUUUGUAUUGAUGGGUUUGCCUUUGUACUUCUGGUUUUACGGUUUGGUGAGGCUUGGUGUUAAUGGAGCUUCAUUGAGAAUUGACGAUGGUGGAGGCGUAUGAGCGGCGCCGCUUCGGACUUUAGCGGCGGUGACUUGAACGGAGUUUGAUGAUUGCAAUCGUCAACCACGAUGGUGGACUUGGGAGAAAAAAAAACAGAUGAAAAACUAGAAGGAAAGAAUGAAAAUUGAAAAAGUUAAUCAAUUGAUUAAUUAUUAAUUAUUUUUAAUUAAUCCUAAUUAAAAGAAACUGAAAAAAUUAAAUUAAAUAACCUUUAAACAAUUUUGGACACAUGGCAUAAUUUUAUUGGUCGUUAAUAAAAGUGUAAAAUUUUAACACUAUGAGUCAAGCACGUAUAAAAGGUAGGAAGUUAGAUUUAUUAUUUUCAAAUUUACAUGUAAUUAUAUCUAAAAAAAAAAAGUUUACUUACAAGUAACAACAAGUUCUCGAGUUCUGUACCAAUGUAUAUUAUCUCAUA
RNAcentral lists this long non-coding RNA (777 nucleotides) under Gossypium barbadense (sea-island cotton). Its description in RNAcentral is "long non-coding RNA (GBAR_LNC011462)". The record is from RNAcentral. Lineage: Eukaryota; Viridiplantae; Streptophyta; Magnoliopsida; Malvales; Malvaceae.